This is a non-coding RNA of Dicentrarchus labrax (European seabass), 1064 nucleotides long. The record is from the annotation of a RefSeq genome assembly. Lineage: Eukaryota; Metazoa; Chordata; Actinopteri; Moronidae.
GAAAUCAUUUCCAUAGAGAGGAGGCUUUGCAUCGUCAGCUGAUCCUCCAGUGAACUGAGAAGGUUUAUAGUCCUGUGAGUUCAACACUGCAGGACUCAGAUCUGUCAGUCAACACAGCAGAAACCACAACCACCAUGACUCUCAUCACCAUCCUCAUCUGGACGCUGGCCUGCUGCUGUUUUACAGGAUGCAGCGGUCAGGUGACUGUGACUCAGCCUCCGGUAAAGACAUUUACUCCAGGAUCCACUGUCACUAUCAGCUGUAAAACCAACCAAGCUGUUUACAGUCACAGUCUUUAUGGAGAUUAUUUGCACUGGUAUCAACAGAAAUCUGGACAGCCUCCAAAGCUCCUAAUAAAACUUGUCAGCACACGUGAAUCAGGAACACCAGCUCGGUUUAGUGGCAGUGGAAGCAGCUCUGACUUCACUUUGACCAUCAGUGGAGUUCAGACUGAAGAUGCAGCAGUUUAUUACUGUCAGAGUUACCACAGUGGUGGUGUGUGGACUUUUGGUGGAGGAACCAAACUCAUCAUUGACUUGGGUGUGGUGCGUCCCACCCUGACCGUCCUCCCCCCCUCCAGAGAGGAGCUGCAGAAGGACAGUGCCACACUGGUGUGUCUGGCCAGCGGGGGCUUCCCCUCAACCUGGAGUCUGGGCUGGAAGGUGGGGGGCAGCAGCAGCUCCUCAGGGGUGUCACACAGCCUGGAGGUCCUGGGGAGGGACGGCCACUACAGCUGGAGCAGCACCCUGAGCCUCUCUGCAGACCAGUGGAGGAAGGCGGGCUCAGUGAGUUGUGAGGCCAGUCUGAGUGGACAGAGCCCUGUCACUCAAACCCUGGACCCUGACCGCUGCUCAGAGUAAAAAAACAACAGCACUGAAUCUGCUGAGACAAAUUCUGCUCUUAGAAACAAAUCCAACAUGCUGUAUUGAAGGUCUGCUUAACUAACAUGUGACAUUCUGCAUUUCAUUUGUCUUCAAUUCUUUCCUUAAACAUUUAUACUUUAUUACAGUCACAUGCUGUAUUCUUUGUGCAUUUGUCAGAGAAAUAAAUACUUCAUGCUCUCA